Molecule: ribosomal RNA, 301 nt
Filed under: uncultured bacterium
Lineage: Bacteria
Description: partial 16S ribosomal RNA
Rfam family: Bacterial small subunit ribosomal RNA
Source: RNAcentral
CAGUCGCCACGGGAACACGAAGGGGGCUAGCGUUACUCGGAAUCACUGGGCGUAAAGGGUGCGUAGGCGGGUCUUUAAGUCAGGGGUGAAAUCCUGGAGCUCAACUCCAGAACUGCCUUUGAUACUGAAGAUCUUGAGUUCGGGAGAGGUGAGUGGAACUGCGAGUGUAGAGGUGAAAUUCGUAGAUAUUCACAAGAACACCAGUGGCGAAGGCGGCUCACUGGCCCGAUACUGACGCUGAGGCACGAAAGCGUGGGGAGCAAACAGGAUUAGAUACCCCAGUAGUCCCUGUCUCUUAUAC